AAACCGUUCAGGGGUAAACCUAAGAAACCCAAAAGAUCGAAUGGGGAGAUUCAUCGUCGACGGCGCUGGCUACCGUUGGUGCGCGAUGCUCCGGGUGGACCCUUGCGGUUCCAUUAGCGUGUGGCACACCACCUUCGGAUCGAACGUUCCGGCGUCGUAGUCGUGCACUUCUCCCCUAGUAGGACGUCGCGACCCGUUGUGUGUCGGUCUACGGCCCGAGUGGGCGCCUGUCGCGUCGUUUCGGCGCACGCGGCAGACCCUCGGUCGCCCGGCCGGCUGCACGACGGUACACUCACGGUAUCGGGCCGCAACCAGUCCAUUCUCGAAUGUGUGUGCGUCCAACCCGCCGCAAGCUCGGUCAGUUCUUACCCGGAGGUACGGACCCUGUGCCGUCCCCGGGCCUGGCCAGCUGUUAGCAGGCGGUGUCCUCGGACUGGCCAAAUCUCAGAUUACCGGUCGGCGACGCUAUUGCUUUGGGUACUCUCAGGACCCGUCUUGAAACACGGACCAAGGAGUCUAACAUGUGCGCGAGUCAUUGGGAUGCAUAAACCUAAAGGCGAAAUGAAAGUGAAAGUCGGCCUUCGCGCCGAUCGAGGGAGGAUGGGCCGCGUAACCAUGCGGCCUCGCACUCCCGGGGCGUCUCGUUCUCAUUGCGAGAAGAGGCGCACCUAGAGCGUACACGUUGGGACCCGAAAGAUGGUGAACUAUGCCUGGUCAGGACGAAGUCAGGGGAAACCCUGAUGGAGGUCCGUAGCGAUUCUGACGUGCAAAUCGAUCGUCGGAACUGGGUAUAGGGGCGAAAGACUAAUCGAA
RNAcentral lists this ribosomal RNA (813 nucleotides) under Duckeola ghilianii. RNAcentral's name for it is "eukaryotic LSU rRNA". It matches the Rfam family "Eukaryotic large subunit ribosomal RNA", at positions 402 to 939 of the family's 3401-position model. Lineage: Eukaryota; Metazoa; Arthropoda; Insecta; Hymenoptera; Apidae. The record is from RNAcentral.